Molecule: small RNA, 101 nt
Filed under: Xenorhabdus koppenhoeferi
Lineage: Bacteria; Pseudomonadati; Pseudomonadota; Gammaproteobacteria; Enterobacterales; Morganellaceae
Source: RNAcentral
GUAAGUUGUUCUACGUCUCAAUGACAAUUUUUAGCGUAAGUCUCUUUGAAUAAGAGUCAUUUUCCCUGGGCCGAGUAGAGGAGUGAACUCGGCCUUUUUUU